UACAGAGGGGGCAAGCGUUGUUCGGAAUUACUGGGCGUAAAGGGCGCGUAGGCGGCUUUCUAAGUCGAACGUGAAAUCCCUGGGCUCAACCCAGGAACUGCGUCCGAUACUGGAAGGCUUGAAUCCGGGAGAGGGAUGCGGAAUUCCAGGUGUAGCGGUGAAAUGCGUAGAUAUCUGGAGGAACACCGGUGGCGAAGGCGGCAUCCUGGACCGGUAUUGACGCUGAGGCGCGAAAGCCAGGGGAGCAAACGGG
Molecule: ribosomal RNA, 253 nt
Filed under: uncultured bacterium
Lineage: Bacteria
Description: partial 16S ribosomal RNA
Rfam family: Bacterial small subunit ribosomal RNA
Source: RNAcentral